UGGGGAAUAUUGCACAAUGGGCGCAAGCCUGAUGCAGCGACGCCGCGUGCGGGAUGGAGGCCUUCGGGUUGUAAACCGCUUUUGUUCAAGGGCAAGGCAGGCUUUCGGGCCUCUUGAGUGGAUUGUUCGAAUAAGCACCGGCUAACUACGUGCC
This 154-nucleotide ribosomal RNA is filed under the name uncultured bacterium. RNAcentral describes it as "partial 16S ribosomal RNA". It matches the Rfam family "Bacterial small subunit ribosomal RNA", at positions 355 to 509 of the family's 1533-position model. The record is from RNAcentral.